CCUACGGGCGGCAGCAGUGGGGAAUAUUGGACAAUGGGGGCAACCCUGAUCCAGCCAUGCCGCGUGUGUGAAGAAGGCCCUCGGGUUGUAAAGCACUUUCAGUGAGGAAGAACGCCUGGUGGUUAAUACCCAUCAGGAAAGACAUCACUCACAGAAGAAGCACCGGCUAACUCCGUGCCAGCAGCCGCGGUAAUACGGAGGGUGCGAGCGUUAAUCGGAAUUACUGGGCGUAAAGCGCGCGUAGGUGGCUUGAUAAGCCGGUUGUGAAAGCCCCGGGCUCAACCUGGGAACGGCAUCCGGAACUGUCAAGCUAGAGUGCAGGAGAGGAAGGUAGAAUUCCCGGUGUAGGGGUGGAAUGCGUAGAGAUCGGGAGGAAUACCAGUGGCGAAGGCGGCCUUCUGGACUGACCCUGACACUGAGGUGCGAAAGCGUGGGUAGCCAACCGGAUUAGAUACCCGGGUAGUC
RNAcentral lists this ribosomal RNA (465 nucleotides) under Vreelandella stevensii. Its description in RNAcentral is "partial 16S ribosomal RNA". It matches the Rfam family "Bacterial small subunit ribosomal RNA", at positions 338 to 795 of the family's 1533-position model. The record is from RNAcentral. Lineage: Bacteria; Pseudomonadati; Pseudomonadota; Gammaproteobacteria; Oceanospirillales; Halomonadaceae.